AAGCCCGAGGAGAGGACCGGGAGGGCCAAGGAGGGCAGGCCACCCACGGCCCGGCUCCGGGGAGCAGAGCCCAGGCGUGCACCUUCAUGAACUCGUCCUUGUCGAAGCAGAGCGUGUCCGGCCCCUUGGGCAGGUUCAUCUUACUUCUCUCCAUCCCGCCGGCCGCCGCCUCUCAGUACCAACACUCGAGCGAGGAGGAAAGGUAGGAGGCUGCGCUCCAGGACGGUACCGGUGAAGCCAUGGCGUUUCCACCGCACAGAAGGCACCGCUUGCUCCAACAUGGCAGCGCCCCCGCCGGGCCAAUGAAAGAGGACGCCGCAGGCUCGCCUCCGCCGGCCUCCGCCAAGAGAGGCGCGCGGGCCGCUGCGGUGGAGCCAGCAGGUGGUCCUGCCCCCGAGCGGCGGAGGGCGACACUACAACCUCGCCUACGUUUCUGCAGGGCAGCCCCGCCGCUGUUGAUGCCGGGUUGGCUACAGAACACUCAAAAAUUGCAAAGAGAAAUAUUGUGUUCUGGAAAUUCUUCCGAGCAUUUUUUUCCAAUAUCGUCCUUAUGCUCUUCUGAUCCUCUCUUGAACUGUUGGACUAAAGCAGCUGACGCUUCCACCAGCAACCAGAGUCAUCCUGUCCACUACUGUGGGAACAGAGGGUUUCCAUUUGGAACUGCAGACCGAGCCUAAAGUCUGGUGGCCCUUUGGUGCCAGGAUAGCAGAAAUGAUUCUACAAAUGCCAGCGGCAUGCACCAGAAACCAGGAAGGAAUCAUACAGCUGAGCCAAACUGCUGUACUUUAAAACACUUGACCACAAUUCUCCAGUGGAUACUCAACCCUGGCUUCAAACUCCCUUGUCUCUCUGGUGAGUUUGCUUUCCCUCUAAUGGAUGACCGUUUCACACCUUCAAGACUUGCCUCAACAAUUCCUACCCCCACCUCUUCUGAACUAUGUCACCUCACUCCCAGCUCCUGUCCUAGGGAUGAGGGAGCAGAAGGCAAGCUUAGGACAAAGCAGAAACUGGCACCCUACACCCUCUCCCCAUGCCAUAUGUGUAACAUUCCUCAUGCACUCCUGGCUGCCCUAAAGGAAAAACGAUGCUUAACUGAUAGAGAUCCCAGUCCUGCAGGACAGGAGUCUCCCUCCAUCUACGAAUGUCCUAGCGACUUACAAGGAAGGAAGAAGCUUUCUCAUCAAUAGCCUGACUUCCAGACACCCAUACCUCAGUUUCCGGAAGCCCUAACAUCACCAUCACCCUCCCCUCCAUAAAAUUCUGGGAGGCUAAGGGGGAGGGAAGUGUAAUAAAACUGAAUUUCUUCUAAGCCCAAAGCCCACUGACAAGGAUGUGUGAUAGGAGGAAUGUAACAUAUCUCCAGGAAACUCCCGACUGUCUUCAUGCUUU
Molecule: long non-coding RNA, 1389 nt
Organism: Mustela lutreola (European mink)
Lineage: Eukaryota; Metazoa; Chordata; Mammalia; Carnivora; Mustelidae
Exons: 3
Source: RefSeq, a predicted model, not a curated record